This 111-nucleotide ribosomal RNA is filed under the name Rhodococcus sp. WS7. RNAcentral describes it as "partial 16S ribosomal RNA". It matches the Rfam family "Bacterial small subunit ribosomal RNA", at positions 1434 to 1533 of the family's 1533-position model. The record is from RNAcentral. Lineage: Bacteria; Bacillati; Actinomycetota; Actinomycetes; Mycobacteriales; Nocardiaceae.
CUUAACCCCUUGUGGGAGGGAGCCGUCGAAGGUGGGAUCGGCGAUUGGGACGAAGUCGUAACAAGGUAGCCGUACCGGAAGGUGCGGCUGGAUCACCUCCUUUCUAAGGAG